RNAcentral lists this microRNA precursor (88 nucleotides) under Chelydra serpentina (North American snapping turtle). Its description in RNAcentral is "mir-135b". It matches the Rfam family "mir-135 microRNA precursor family". From Rfam's summary of the family: The hairpin precursors (represented here) are predicted based on base pairing and cross-species conservation -- their extents are not known. The record is from RNAcentral. Lineage: Eukaryota; Metazoa; Chordata; Testudines; Chelydridae.
AGCCCUCUGCUGUGGUCUAUGGCUUUUUAUUCCUAUGUGAUUGCGUUUCCUAACUCAUGUAGGGCUAAAAGCCAUGGGCUACACAGAG